RNAcentral lists this ribosomal RNA (139 nucleotides) under uncultured bacterium. RNAcentral's name for it is "partial 16S ribosomal RNA". It matches the Rfam family "Bacterial small subunit ribosomal RNA", at positions 355 to 509 of the family's 1533-position model. The record is from RNAcentral.
UGGGGGAUAUUGCACAAUGGGGGGGAACCCGUGAUGCAGCGACGCCGCGUGGGUGAAGAAGCGCCUCGGCGCGUAAAGCCCUGUCAGCAGGGAAGAAAAUGACGGUACCUGAAGAAGAAGCCCCGGCUAACUACGUGCC